UGGGGGAUAUUGCACAAUGGGCGAAAGCCUGAUGCAGCGACGCCGCGUGGGGGAUGAAGGCUUUCGGGUUGUAAACCUCUUUCGCUAUCGAACAAGGCCCGCUUAGGGUGGGUUGAGGGUAGGUGGAGAAGAAGCGCCGGCUAACUACGUGCCAGCAGCCGCGGUAAUACGUAGGGCGCGAGCGUUGUCCGGAAUUAUUGGGCGUAAAGGGCUUGUAGGCGGCUUGUUGCGCCUGCUGUGAAAACGGGGGGCUUAACUUCGCGCGUGCAGUGGGUAGGGGCAGGCUUGAGUGUGGUAGGGGUGACUGGAAUUCCAGGUGUAGCGGUGGAAUGCGCAGAUAUCUGGAGGAACACCGAUGGCGAAGGCAGGUCACUGGGCCAUUACUGACGCUGAGGAGCGAAAGCAUGGGUAGCGAACAGG
Molecule: ribosomal RNA, 420 nt
Filed under: bacterium
Lineage: Bacteria
Description: partial 16S ribosomal RNA
Rfam family: Bacterial small subunit ribosomal RNA
Source: RNAcentral